GAUUACCAGAGAUGGUUUUCUUCACUUCGGGUGGCUGGAACACAGGUGCUGCAUGGCUGUCGUCAGCUCGUGUCGUGAGAUGUUGGGUUAAGUCCCGCAACGAGCGCAACCCUCGUCCUUAGUUGCCAACGGGUAAUGCCGGGAACUCUAAGGAAACUGCCUAUGAUAAGUAGGAGGAAGGUGGGGACGACGUCAAGUCAUCAUGGCCCUUACGGCCUGGGCUACACACGUGCUACAAUGGUAGUGACAAUGGGCAGCGAUACCGCAAGGUUCAGCUAAUCCCCAAAAACUAUCUCAGUUCGGAUUGUCCUCUGCAACUCGAGGGCAUGAAGUUGGAAUCGCUAGUAAUCGUAGAUCAGCAUGCUACGGUGAAUACGUUCCCGGGUCUUGUACACACCGCCCGUCACACCAUGGGAGUUGUUUCUGCCUUAAGUCGGUGAGCCAAUCUGGCAGCCGCCCACGGCAGGGAUGAUGACUGGGGUGAAGUCGUAACAAGGUAGCCGUAUCGGAAGGUGCGGCUGGAUCACCUCCUUA
This 534-nucleotide ribosomal RNA is filed under the name uncultured Alphaproteobacteria bacterium. RNAcentral's name for it is "bacterial SSU rRNA". It matches the Rfam family "Bacterial small subunit ribosomal RNA", at positions 995 to 1533 of the family's 1533-position model. Lineage: Bacteria; Pseudomonadati; Pseudomonadota; Alphaproteobacteria. The record is from RNAcentral.